AUGCUCACUUUGGCAGCACUUAUACUGAAAUGAUAUAGAGAAGAUUAGCAUGGUUCCUGGCCAAUGAAGACAUGCAAAGUCAUGAAGCAUUCCAAUAAGAA
RNAcentral lists this small nuclear RNA (101 nucleotides) under Jaculus jaculus (lesser Egyptian jerboa). The record is from RNAcentral. Lineage: Eukaryota; Metazoa; Chordata; Mammalia; Rodentia; Dipodidae.